This 154-nucleotide ribosomal RNA is filed under the name Ctenophora environmental sample. RNAcentral's name for it is "5.8S ribosomal RNA". It matches the Rfam family "5.8S ribosomal RNA". From Rfam's summary of the family: 5.8S ribosomal RNA (5.8S rRNA) is a component of the large subunit of the eukaryotic ribosome. It is transcribed by RNA polymerase I as part of the 45S precursor that also contains 18S and 28S rRNA. Lineage: Eukaryota; Metazoa; Ctenophora. The record is from RNAcentral.
AACUCUUAGCAACGGAUAUCUUGGUUCCAGUAACGAUGAAGAACGCAGCGAAAUGCGAUACGUAAUGCGAAUUGCAGAAUUCAGUGAAUCAUCAAAUCUUUGAACGCAAAUUGCGGUCGCGGGAUAGACCUGCGACCACGCCUCCUUGAGUGUC